Molecule: ribosomal RNA, 450 nt
Filed under: uncultured bacterium
Lineage: Bacteria
Description: partial 16S ribosomal RNA
Rfam family: Bacterial small subunit ribosomal RNA
Source: RNAcentral
GUGGGGAAUAUUGGACAAUGGGCGAAAGCCUGAUCCAGCCAUGUCGCGUGUGUGAAGAAGGUCUUCGGAUUGUAAAGCACUUUAAGUUGGGAGGAAGGGCAGUAAGCUAAUACCUUGCUGUUUUGACGUUACCGACAGAAUAAGCACCGGCUAACUCUGUGCCAGCAGCCGCGGUAAUACAGAGGGUGCAAGCGUUAAUCGGAAUUACUGGGCGUAAAGCGCGCGUAGGUGGUUCGUUAAGUUGGAUGUGAAAGCCCCGGGCUCAACCUGGGAACUGCAUCCAAAACUGGCGAGCUAGAGUACGGUAGAGGGUGGUGGAAUUUCCUGUGUAGCGGUGAAAUGCGUAGAUAUAGGAAGGAACACCAGUGGCGAAGGCGACCGCCUGGACUGAUACUGACACUGAGGUGCGAAAGCGUGGGGAGCAAACAGGAUUAGAUACCCCAGUAGUCC